Molecule: ribosomal RNA, 853 nt
Filed under: uncultured Candidatus Nitrotoga sp.
Lineage: Bacteria; Pseudomonadati; Pseudomonadota; Betaproteobacteria; Nitrosomonadales; Gallionellaceae
Description: bacterial SSU rRNA
Rfam family: Bacterial small subunit ribosomal RNA
Source: RNAcentral
AAUACCGCAUAUGCCCUAAGGGGGAAAGCGGGGGAUUCGCAAGAACCUCGCGUUUUCGGAGCGGCCGAUAUCGGAUUAGCUAGUAGGUGAGGUAAAGGCUCACCUAGGCGACGAUCCGUAGCUGGUCUGAGAGGACGACCAGCCACACUGGAACUGAGACACGGUCCAGACUCCUACGGGAGGCAGCAGUGGGGAAUUUUGGACAAUGGGCGCAAGCCUGAUCCAGCCAUGCCGCGUGAGUGAAGAAGGCCUUCGGGUUGUAAAGCUCUUUCAGCCGGAAAGAAAACGCACGGGAUAAUACCCYGUGUGGAUGACGGUACCGGAAGAAGAAGCACCGGCUAACUACGUGCCAGCAGCCGCGGUAAUACGUAGGGUGCGAGCGUUAAUCGGAAUUACUGGGCGUAAAGCGUGCGCAGGCGGUUUUGUAAGACAGAUGUGAAAUCCCCGGGCUUAACCUGGGAACUGCAUUUGUAACUGCAAGGCUAGAGUACGGCAGAGGGGGGUAGAAUUCCACGUGUAGCAGUGAAAUGCGUAGAUAUGUGGAGGAAUACCGAUGGCGAAGGCAGCCCCCUGGGUCGAUACUGACGCUCAUGCACGAAAGCGUGGGGAGCAAACAGGAUUAGAUACCCUGGUAGUCCACGCCCUAAACGAUGUCAACUAGGUGUUGGGGGAGGAGACUUCCUUAGUACCGCAGCUAACGCGUGAAGUUGACCGCCUGGGGAGUACGGUCGCAAGAUUAAAACUCAAAGGAAUUGACGGGGACCCGCACAAGCGGUGGAUUAUGUGGAUUAAUUCGAUGCAACGCGAAAAACCUUACCUACCCUUGACAUGCCAGGAACUUGCCAGAGAUGGC